GGAGAAUUUGGGAAGAGGUAAGAACAAUUCAUGUGAAUUGUGAAGAGUCCUACAAGAAAGCCAGAUUGUUCCCUGGGAUCUCUUUGAGGGCAGGGAGAGAGAAUGAAAAUACAGAUAAUGAGGAUGACUCUUGGCAGACUGUCCACCUACGACUGGCAUUUCUGCAAGAGUCCUGUAACAACAUUUUGAAGAUAAAAUCACGCCACGACUCUGAAAUUGGAAGUACAGAACAUAUAAGAAAAUAAAUCAAGAAAUGAGGGGAAUCUCCUGAAAGGUACUAAAGAAAGAAAACUAGUGUCUUACAUCUAGUAAGUA
RNAcentral lists this long non-coding RNA (315 nucleotides) under Pan troglodytes (chimpanzee). Its description in RNAcentral is "long non-coding RNA NONPTRT003611". The record is from RNAcentral. Lineage: Eukaryota; Metazoa; Chordata; Mammalia; Primates; Hominidae.